This is a long non-coding RNA of Bactrocera oleae (olive fruit fly), 1359 nucleotides long. RefSeq lists it as uncharacterized. Lineage: Eukaryota; Metazoa; Arthropoda; Insecta; Diptera; Tephritidae. The record is from RefSeq and is a predicted model, not a curated record.
GGCAUACCAUUUUUUAAUGCCGAAAGUUCCAGACAUUGACUACGAUGAAUCGUAGGAGAUUCAUAAUAAGCAACAAGCUAUGCAUUGCUUGAUCACGUAUAUGAAGGCAAUUGUCAUAAUAAAAAAAACGCAAUAAGUGUGAAAGAAAUUAUCAUAAUUGACUGCAUUAUAAUUCCAAAAAUAGCAAAUUAAGAAAAUAUCGCCGAAAAAUCCUCCACAAUGAUGACGAAAAACUCGGAAACGGCAAUUCUCUUUGCACCAGCUCAGGGCAGAAAAUGGAUAGUACGUGACAUUGCGAGCUCUAAUCGGUUAAGGAUCACAAAAGACAACUAUUUGCCAAAAAAAGCUUAAAUAUUUAAAUCUACCAAAGAGAACAGAAGUAACUGAACUACAAGGCAUUUAUUCAAAAUCAUUAUAUCAGCCGAAAUAUAUCUAUUUAAAAAGGCUUAUUGAUCCGAUAAAAGGAAUAAAUCUUUAUACAUUUAGUGAAAACGUUGAUGUUAUCAAGCCCACUGAAGCCAAAGCGGACUCAAUUUUUAUAUUCGAUGAUGUAAUAAAUAUAUUGGGAGUUUGCAAAUGUAAAGUAAAUAAGCCGAGAUUCCGAUUCCUAAGCGACGAAGUAUACCAAAUAAUGUCGACGCACUAAUUUUUCCAAAAUUGGCGAGUGCGCCAGACAUCACGUUUAAAUGGGAUAUAGAACAAUGGAAAAACUAUACCAUAGCUGAUCUGAACUUCAAUAAGUCGGAUCGAAUCACCGUUAAUGAGGAGAAGGUAUAUUUAAGAAGGAUUUGAUCUACCUGGAUUCGCAGAUGCUUCAGAGAAAGCUUACGCAGCAGUAGUAUAUGCUAAAGUUGGAUCGGUUAUAACAUUAGUUGCUGGUAAAACCAAAGUAAAUCCAAUUAAAAAUAAGAAGACCUGGCCAGGCCGGGAACUAUGCGCAGCUCACCUACUUGUUAAAUUACUACAACGGAUAAAAACAGUUAUCAACAGAGAUGUUAAAAUAUUUGCUUGAAGCAAUUCAUCUAUAACGGCAACACGUUGAAACAAAUUACAAUCCAGCCGAUGUAGCAUCCAGGAAGGUAUUCGCAAACAAACUGGUAGAUCACGAUCUUGUAUAGUAGAGAGGUCCCAAAUGGUUACAAGAAGAAGAACAUCAAUGGCUAGCACAGAAGAGUUUUAAAAUCGAUUCAUUGUAUGUUACGACACCAAAAUAAUCUAAUUUCUUCGAUAAGGUAAUAUCAAAAUAUUCUAGUUUAACCAAAUUAAUAAGUGUGACUUAUAUUUGGCGAUUUGUAAAACGAGUAAGAAGAUAAAUUGUCUUACAUAUAAUUGGUAAUAAAGUCAGAAAUUAACAAGUAA